GAUGAAGAACGUAGCGAAAUGCGAUAAGUAAUGUGAAUUGCAGAAUUCAGUGAAUCAUCGAAUCUUUGAACGCACAUUGCGCCCCCUGGUAUUCCCGGGGGCAUGCCUGUCCGAGCGUCAUUACAACCCUCAAGCUCAGCUUGGUGUUGGGCCCCGCCGCCCCGGCGGGCCCUAAAGUCAGUGGCGGUGCCGUCCGGCUCCGAGCGUAGUAAUUCUUCUCGCUCUGGAGGUCCGGUCGUGUGCUCGCCAGCAACCCCCAAUUUUUUUCAGGUUGACCUCGGAUCAGGUAGGGAUACCCGCUGAACUUAAGCAUAUCAAUAAGCGGAGGA
Molecule: unclassified non-coding RNA, 329 nt
Filed under: soil metagenome
Description: partial contains 5.8S ribosomal RNA, internal transcribed spacer 2, and large subunit ribosomal RNA
Rfam family: 5.8S ribosomal RNA (bases 1-120)
Source: RNAcentral